UGGAACAAUGUAGGUAAGGGAAGUCGACAAAAUGGAUCCGUAACCUCGGGAAAAUGACUGCCUCUGAGGGCUGGGCACGGGGGUCCCAGUCUCGAACCCGUCGGCUAUCGGUGCACUGCACGAGCUACUUUUGCAGCAAGAGCGGGUCACCGCGUGCCGGUCGGGGGACGGACUGGGAACGACUCCCUUGGGGGCCUUCCCCAGGUGACGAACAGUCGACUCAGAACUGGUACGGACAAGGGGAAUCCGAUUGUUUAAUUAAAACAAAGCAUUGCGAUGGUCUUUGCGGAUGCUCACGCAAUGUGAUUUCUGUCCAGUGCUCUGAAUGUAUAAGUGAAGAAAUUCAACCAAGCAAGGGUAAACGGCAGGAGUAACUAUGACUCUCUUAAGGUAGCCAAAUUAAUGACGAGCAUGAAUGGAUUCACGAGAUUCCUACUGUCCCUGUCUACUAUACAGCAAAACCAUAGGCAAGGGAACGGGCUUGG
RNAcentral lists this non-coding RNA (485 nucleotides) under Gossypium hirsutum (cotton). Its description in RNAcentral is "Eukaryotic large subunit ribosomal RNA". It matches the Rfam family "Eukaryotic large subunit ribosomal RNA", at positions 1891 to 2388 of the family's 3401-position model. The record is from Rfam by way of RNAcentral. Lineage: Eukaryota; Viridiplantae; Streptophyta; Magnoliopsida; Malvales; Malvaceae.